This 765-nucleotide long non-coding RNA is filed under the name Pogona vitticeps (central bearded dragon). RNAcentral's name for it is "lncRNA (ENSPVIG00000002667.1)". The record is from RNAcentral. Lineage: Eukaryota; Metazoa; Chordata; Lepidosauria; Squamata; Agamidae.
CCUUUUUCAAUCCUAGGUUGAAACAGGAUUGGUUAAUUGCUAUACUUUCCUCACUAGAUCAGGGUAGCAUAAUAGGCUUUUACAAGUCCUGCGCAGUGGCGGCAGACCACGUGAACAGCAGCUUCAUAUUUGACUUUGGAGAUGAAGGAAGCCUGUCUAUUGCUUCUCGGCUUUGCAACGAUACAGACUGCCAGCCUUCAUUUGACUAUGUAUACAUGGAAGCUUUCCUGAAUGGAAAAACAUGCCCCAAAUGCUACAAGCCAGGCUAUACCAGCUGCAAAGACAAUGGGACCGUAUCCUGCCGAGGAAAUUUCGUAACAUGUGCUGUAAUUAGUGGGGAAAUGUCAGAAGGUCCCACUAAAAUACCAUUCGCUGCAAAAGGAUGUGCUCGUACUGACUAUGAUGGUGAUAUCUCCGAGAAAGCACCAGUGACAAUUGAGUCGGGAAUAUACACCUACAAAUUUGUCAAAGUCACCUUUCGACCCGCCAACAGUGCUUUGGCAGCCAUGCGACGCAUCGCGUUUACUCUGGACUACAAAGACCUUGGUCCUCAACUUGCUUUUUUCUUCCCAUGCUUCUUGGGCGUCUUUGCGGUGAAAAUCUUUUCCUGAUGAAGAAAGAGCCAGCUAGCAUCUUGGACAGCUUAAGGCAUAAUGACGAUCCCUUUGCAAACUGAUACAGUAUUUUUAAUGCUUAUUCAAAAAACGGUGAGGUAUAGAUUUAAAUAUAAAUAAAAGUCACCUGGCUAAACUUAUCUGAGUGUGA